Molecule: long non-coding RNA, 211 nt
Filed under: Eucalyptus grandis
Lineage: Eukaryota; Viridiplantae; Streptophyta; Magnoliopsida; Myrtales; Myrtaceae
Description: long non-coding RNA (EGRA_LNC003080)
Source: RNAcentral
UCCUCAAGAUCACCGAAUCCUACACCUUUUUGACUCUCCAGCUUUUUCUUCCGCUCACUGCUUUUGAAUCUUGUCUGAUUCCGAUUUUCCAUCACUUUCCAACUCACGCUCAAAUCUCUCUUUUUGCAUCACCGAAAGCCAUCCCGCGCUUGAAGCUCACGAUCGGUUUAACUUUUUCAAAGGGUCCCCAUCUCUCACAUUUAUCUCUUUU